AACGAUCUGGCUCACUAAUAAUAAUAAUUCGUUAGGUCCAAACAACUAUACAGCCCAAAAAAUUUUAGCUUAGUUAUUAUUACUAAGAUCAAUGGUCUCUCCCAUUUUCACCCCUCGACUCACUACUAAUACUAACUCAUUGGGACCAAACAAUUAGUACAAAAUGUUUAAACUCAGUUAUUAUUAUUAGGGGUGUAAGGACUGAGAUUUUGACAGUGCAACUAAACUUUCUGUUGACGAUGUUUAGGUGUGUAAUUUAAUUACAAAAGUAUUCGUUAAGUUUCAGGAGAAACCGAGUUAGAAUGGAGAAUUUACGCGAUUAUUAGUUUUCACUUAAAGUGAAUAGUAACCUGGUUUUUCGGUGAAG
This 367-nucleotide long non-coding RNA is filed under the name Ananas comosus (pineapple). RNAcentral's name for it is "long non-coding RNA (ACOM_LNC024480)". The record is from RNAcentral. Lineage: Eukaryota; Viridiplantae; Streptophyta; Magnoliopsida; Poales; Bromeliaceae.